This 426-nucleotide ribosomal RNA is filed under the name uncultured Enterobacteriaceae bacterium. Its description in RNAcentral is "bacterial SSU rRNA". It matches the Rfam family "Bacterial small subunit ribosomal RNA", at positions 355 to 774 of the family's 1533-position model. Lineage: Bacteria; Pseudomonadati; Pseudomonadota; Gammaproteobacteria; Enterobacterales; Enterobacteriaceae. The record is from RNAcentral.
UGGGGAAUAUUGCACAAUGGGCGCAAGCCUGAUGCAGCCAUGCCGCGUGUAUGAAGAAGGCCUUCGGGUUGUAAAGUACUUUCAGCGGGUGAGGAGGUUGUGGUUAAUAACCACAGCGAUUGACGUUACCCGCAGAAGAAGCACCGGCUAACUCCGUGCCAGCAGCCGCGGUAAUACGGAGGGUGCAAGCGUUAAUCGGAAUUACUGGGCGUAAAGCGCACGCAGGCGGUCUGUCAAGUCGGAUGUGAAAUCCCCGGGCUCAACCUGGGAACUGCAUUCGAAACUGGCAGGCUAGAGUCUUGUAGAGGGGGGUAGAAUUCCAGGUGUAGCGGUGAAAUGCGUAGAGAUCUGGAGGAAUACCGGUGGCGAAGGCGGCCCCCUGGACAAAGACUGACGCUCAGGUGCGAAAGCGUGGGGGAGCAAACA